UAAGUCUUAGUGUAAUAAAACACUUAAAGUUUACACCUUUACAAUGCCUUUGGCAGAUUUAU
This 62-nucleotide transfer RNA is filed under the name Brachionus rubens. RNAcentral describes it as "tRNA-Val". The record is from RNAcentral. Lineage: Eukaryota; Metazoa; Rotifera; Eurotatoria; Ploima; Brachionidae.